AAGCCAGCCAAUGAGUCUGCUUACCUGCACGUGCUUCUGCAAAAAUGUUAAAACGUUGGCAAUAGUAAAGGCACGUUAUGAGCCUUAAAGACAUUGACGUCACUCAGGUCCCUGGAAAUGGCUAUAAGG
Molecule: small nucleolar RNA, 129 nt
Organism: Artibeus jamaicensis (Jamaican fruit-eating bat)
Lineage: Eukaryota; Metazoa; Chordata; Mammalia; Chiroptera; Phyllostomidae
Product: small nucleolar RNA SNORA33
Exons: 1
Source: RefSeq, a predicted model, not a curated record